GACGAACGCUGGCGGCGUGCUUAACACAUGCAAGUCGAACGAUGAAGAAGAGCUUGCUCUUCGGAUUAGUGGCGAACGGGUGAGUAACACGUGACUAACCUGCCCCUUUCUCUGGGAUAACGCUCCGAAAGGAGUGCUAAUACCGGAUACUCACAUCGAGGCACAUGCCUUGAUGUGGAAAGUUUUUCGGAAAGGGAUGGAGUCGCGGCCUAUCAGCUUGUUGGUGAGGUAACGGCUCACCAAGGCGACGACGGGUAGCCGGCCUGAGAGGGCGACCGGCCACACUGGGACUGAGACACGGCCCAGACUCCUACGGGAGGCAGCAGUGGGGAAUAUUGCACAAUGGGCGAAAGCCUGAUGCAGCGACGCCGCGUGAGGGAUGAAGGUCUUCGUAUUGUAAACCUCUUUCAGUAGGGACGAAGCGAAAGUGACGGUACCUAAAGAAGAAGCACCGGCUAACUACGUGCCAGCCGCCGCCGUGA
Molecule: ribosomal RNA, 482 nt
Filed under: uncultured bacterium
Lineage: Bacteria
Description: partial 16S ribosomal RNA
Rfam family: Bacterial small subunit ribosomal RNA
Source: RNAcentral